RNAcentral lists this ribosomal RNA (469 nucleotides) under uncultured Alphaproteobacteria bacterium. RNAcentral's name for it is "bacterial SSU rRNA". It matches the Rfam family "Bacterial small subunit ribosomal RNA", at positions 9 to 524 of the family's 1533-position model. Lineage: Bacteria; Pseudomonadati; Pseudomonadota; Alphaproteobacteria. The record is from RNAcentral.
GAGUUUGAUCGUGGCUCAGAUUGAACGCUGGCGGCAGGCUUAACACAUGCAAGUCGAGCGCCGUAGCAAUACGGAGCGGCAGACGGGUGAGUAACACGUGGGAACGUACCUUUUGGUUCGGAACAACACAGGGAAACUUGUGCUAAUACCGGAUAAGCCCUUACGGGGAAAGAUUUAUCGCCGAAAGAUCGGCCCGCGUCUGAUUAGCUAGUUGGUGAGGUAACGGCUCACCAAGGCGACGAUCAGUAGCUGGUCUGAGAGGAUGAUCAGCCACACUGGGACUGAGACACGGCCCAGACUCCUACGGGAGGCAGCAGUGGGGAAUAUUGGACAAUGGGCGCAAGCCUGGUCCAGCCAUGCCGCGUGAGUGAUGAAGGCCCUAGGGUUGUAAAGCUCUUUUGUGCGGGAAGAUAAUGACUGUACCGCAAGAAUAAGCCCCGGCUAACUUCGUGCCAGCCGCCGCGGUAAU